UGGUGAUAUGUGUGAACAAACUUGCCUUGU
This 30-nucleotide non-coding RNA is filed under the name Mus musculus (house mouse). Lineage: Eukaryota; Metazoa; Chordata; Mammalia; Rodentia; Muridae. The record is from RNAcentral.